Molecule: non-coding RNA, 905 nt
Organism: Physcomitrium patens
Lineage: Eukaryota; Viridiplantae; Streptophyta; Bryopsida; Funariales; Funariaceae
Source: RefSeq, a predicted model, not a curated record
UCAGGUGGAGGGUUAUGAGCACCAAAGAAAGGAUUGAAAAAUUCACAUUGAAUGUGAGAAACGACCAGGGCUGUUACGGGACAUCAUGAAACUACUGGAGUCAAGGGGCUUGAAUGUGGAAAAAGCCAGUGUAGCGUUUGACGAGCAUUUUGUCUUGGAUUGCGUUGGAUCAGAGAUCGAUGGACGCGAUAAUACCAAAAAUAGCCCCAAGUCAUGUUUGAGUGCUGUGGCUGUGGGAGCAAGUUUGGUAUCCCUUAUCGCAAAGCAAAGGGAUGCUGCCUCACCGUAGGAGGCGCUUUGCAGACCCUCCAAGAAAUCAGAUAUUUAUUCAACUUUGCGUGCAUUCGUUUUGCUCAAGAGCCGUUUCGCUCCUCUAUUGCUAAGUCACACAUUUUGAUGUUCCGAUCAGUGAAUCAGAGGGUCAGUCAACGCAUUAUGAACCCAGUGAAUUAUCCAGUUGGACUUGAGGCGCAUGCAGAAAGAGUCGUAAGGAAAUUCAGGUUCAUCGCUUUUCAGAAGCCCUCAGUGGUGGGAUGGUCCCUUGGACAAAACGGUGACCUUGGUUUGCACUAGUCUUGGCCUUUGCCUCGAAUUAGAGCGUCACUAUUGCCGAAGCCAGUCGACCACAGCGGAAAACUCGAGGCCAUGGCAGGCCAUAUGAGCGACACGAAGCUGCUUUGGAUAGAAGUUCGCUGAGGGGAUGAAAAGGAUUCGGAACACAAGGUUUGGCAAGUGAAUUUAGAAUGAUGGCUUGGAAACACAACAACCAACAUCAAACUCGAUGUUGCCACGAAAUCUUCCACGGUGUUCGUUGUUUCACAUUACAAGUAAUGCAAAAACUGCCGCAAUUCUUUUUGUACAUUACCUUCCUUCCCUUAAUUAAGGCAGCAAUAUAUUCUCUGAAA